Molecule: long non-coding RNA, 978 nt
Organism: Meriones unguiculatus (Mongolian gerbil)
Lineage: Eukaryota; Metazoa; Chordata; Mammalia; Rodentia; Muridae
Exons: 3
Source: RefSeq, a predicted model, not a curated record
AAGCCUGCCAUGGAUGCUAUCUAUUGGUCUCUGAAGGAAGGAUGUCUCUGCCAGAGGAACAGCCACGUGAAGGCUCAUGGGCAGAGGAUCAAGUCCAGCUUGAGUAUGAGAUGCGGUCAGAAAUGGGUCUGGAGAAGUCCUGGAGGCUAAAUUUUGAGAGCCUCUAAGUCACAUCAAGUGUGACUUUUAUUAGGAAGACAACUGGGACCACUGAAGCCACCUAAGCUGCCAAGCAAUAUACUUAAGAUCUUCUCAGUGGAGAAGAGACUGAAUGCAUGAGAAGAGGCUGGGUGGAGGGAGGUCUAACCUAGAUUUGGAGAAAACUGGGAUGAUCAAGGCCAGCUGAGAGGUUGCCGUAUCAAGACCUGGGACUAAAUUGUUCUCUCUCUGAUUUCUUCAUGCUCACCCCAUGUGUAUGUGUCUAUGUCUGUGUUUGUAUGUCUCUGUGUGUGCACAUGUAUGUGAGUUCAUGAUGGCCAGAAAACAACACUGUGUGUCAUCUUCAGGAAUGCUGAUGUUCACCUCCUUUGAGACAGGCUCUCUCAUUAGCCUGGAACUCACCAGCUGGUCCAGGUGAUACCUGGUCAAUGAGCCCCAGGUUCUGGGAUUACAAACAUAUGGCGCCAUGCCUGAAAUAGUUUGUUUUCUUUUAUCUCACAUAUUUGAAUGUUUUGUUUUCAUGUUUGUAUGUGCACCAUGCCUUAAGUGUCCACAAAGACCAGAAGAGGGCCUCAGAUCCCCUGGAACCAGAUUUACAGGCCGUUGGGAGACACCAUGUGCUGGGAACUGAACCCGGCUCCUCUGAAAAGGCAAUGAGAAGCCUAGAGUGGAUGGUAUCUGGACUUGACCACAAAGAUACAAACAGGGUUGUUCCUGGACACACUGUGAGCAUUUGUUUCCCACACCUGUCCCAUGCAGACAUCAUCAGCUCCACACCUGUUCCAUGCAGACAUCAGCUGGGAUCCUGGGUCCCAGAAU